Molecule: long non-coding RNA, 1934 nt
Organism: Motacilla alba alba
Lineage: Eukaryota; Metazoa; Chordata; Aves; Passeriformes; Motacillidae
Exons: 3
Source: RefSeq, a predicted model, not a curated record
GGAAAGGCACCGGGCGUUAUUCCUGUCCGGACCAGGGAGAUGCUCCACUGCCCUCCUUCCCCGUGCGCCACCGGCCCGCGCUGCGCUCUGUCCCCUCUGCUGUCACCCGGCCAGCCUGGCGGGGGGACAGCAGCGCCGCAGCCACCCAAACCUCUGCGAGAAAGGCACGGUCAGGCUGCCGCACGCCCCGGGGCUCCUCCGGAGCUCGCAGCGCUCAGGAGCGGGCGGCACCGCCGGGGGAUGCUCCUGGAGCUCCCGCGGGCGCGCAGCCCCGAGCAGCGCCCAGGCAGCCCACGCAGCGUGCAGCUCACCCGUGGGCCGCCACCUCGACGGCCCCGCUGCCACACAGGCUCCGGGCGAGGUGUCCCCCGGCCUCCAGCCCCGGGAGAGCCGUCGGGGCUCCCACCUGCCCGGCAGAGCAGAGCAAAGGCAGGGCCUCGUCCUCUCUAAGGGGCGCCAGGAUAGGGCUGGGGGGAUGACGCAUGGGAUUUUUUUUUUUUUUUUAUUUCCUCGUGGAAAAGCGAAUAAAAAAUGUACGAAAACGGCCCGAAUAGAAAAACGUCCAUCGCUCUCCGCAGCGUCUCCCCGGGACGCGCCGUCCAGGAGCGGUCGCAGUGCGGUGGAAGCGAUAGUAUUGAUCUGGGAGCUAUCUCCAGGGCUGGCCACACUCCUUGUAGCGUGCAAAGGUAAACUUUUUUUUUUUUUUUUUUUUUUUAAAGCAAUUUAAACUCUGGUUCUGUCUGAAAGUGCCUGAUAAAGGCCUCAGCAAGGGGGGGAAAGGGAACUGGAGCAUUUUAAUAAGCUGGUUUAACCCGCUUCGCUGCCUCUUCAGAACAGAGACCUGACUGGCCGGACACACAUCUCUGCUGCAUUUUCAUAUUCUCCAAAAGUCCCCCAUUAAAAAGCUGAGCGGGGAACAAGGGUACAGUGCCACAUACUGUAGCAGAGACAAUCCCCAUCUGGAACCCUCUCUCCACGAGUCUCCUGGAAGGGCACAAAACAAAAACCCGACACAACAACAACAACAACAACAACCACGACAGCAACAACAACCACCACCACCAAUCCUCCAAACUCCAGCCUUUCUUCCGGCGGGGAGAAAACCGCGUGAAAAUCGCGCUCGCAGCCGCCCUGCCGGCCCCGGGUCCGCGGCCGUCGGGGGCAGCCUGCGCCCGUCCCCGCCGCUGCCCCGGGCCCGUUCCGCGCCGCCCCACGGGCCCCCGGCCCCGGUACCUGUCGGGACCUCGGCCCGGCACCAGCGUGGCGGAAACAUCGCCGAGAGUCCCGCCAGAGAGACCGAACAGUCUCCGGUGCGGUUCUGGCCCGCAGCCAGGCGGCUGGGGCGCGGGGGGGAGGGGGGGUGGAAGGGGUAAGGGGGGGGGAUUGCUUGUGAGUAAUUUCUCUGCUUUUAUUUUUCAUCUUUCUGGCCUCCUGAACCGGCUCGUCACAUCCCCUCCGCCGGCCAGAAGCGAGCGAAAAUUCAUCCGAGGAACCGUGUUUCUGCUGUAGGGUCUAAAGGGGAGGUUCUCCUCCUUGUCCCCGCGUUUGUUUUGGGGGCUUUUCCCCUAACAUCGAACUCCUUCUUGAGGGUCACACCAGAACGACCGGACCCGCGGACCGCAGCUCCCUUCGCUGCCUCCCCGCUCGGGCCGGAGCUCCCCCCGGUCCCGGGGCUCCCCAAAUCGAGCCCCGAGCGCUGCGGCUCCCCACGCCCGGCCGAGGCACCGCGACCCCGGGCCGUGAAACUCAGAACGGGAAAAAGAUUCUGCGACACUCAGGCUGGGGAGAUCCCUCUCUCCACUGCACAGGCUCGGGAGGCCUACACAUCCCUAAAAUUUGCCCUUCCCGCCGCCCGAAUCUCGGCCCGGCCGGGUGGGUUUUCCACAGGAGAUGCCCGUACUUUCGCUUUCCCGGCUGCCCGUCCCCUGCUCGCC